RNAcentral lists this transfer RNA (84 nucleotides) under Schistocephalus solidus. It matches the Rfam family "tRNA". Rfam says of the family: Transfer RNA (tRNA) molecules are approximately 80 nucleotides in length. Their secondary structure includes four short double-helical elements and three loops (D, anti-codon, and T loops). Lineage: Eukaryota; Metazoa; Platyhelminthes; Cestoda; Diphyllobothriidea; Diphyllobothriidae. The record is from Rfam by way of RNAcentral.
GGCCUCGUGACUAAAGUGGUGAGGGCGUCGGCUGAACUCAAGCCUCGCCCCUUGCUGGCGUGGGUUCGAAUCCCACCGAGGCCG